Molecule: transfer RNA, 71 nt
Filed under: Sphaerodactylus townsendi
Lineage: Eukaryota; Metazoa; Chordata; Lepidosauria; Squamata; Sphaerodactylidae
Description: tRNA-Val
Source: RNAcentral
GGAUCGUGGCAUAGUGGUAGAGUGACUGCUUGACAUGCAGAAGGUGCCAGGUUCAAUCCCUAACAUGUCCA